UGGCGAACGGGUGAGUAACACGUGGGUGAUCUGCCUUGCACUCUGGGAUAAGCUUGGGAAACUGGGUCUAAUACCGGAUAGGAACCGUCUUUAGUGUGGUGGUUGGAAAGUUUUUUCGGUGCAAGAUGAGCUCGCGGCCUAUCAGCUUGUUGGUGGGGUAAUGGCCUACCAAGGCGUCGACGGGUAGCCGGCCUGAGAGGGUGUACGGCCACAUUGGGACUGAGAUACGGCCCAA
RNAcentral lists this ribosomal RNA (235 nucleotides) under uncultured Actinomycetales bacterium. RNAcentral's name for it is "partial 16S ribosomal RNA". It matches the Rfam family "Bacterial small subunit ribosomal RNA", at positions 96 to 334 of the family's 1533-position model. Lineage: Bacteria; Bacillati; Actinomycetota; Actinomycetes; Actinomycetales. The record is from RNAcentral.